Molecule: long non-coding RNA, 1439 nt
Filed under: Rosa chinensis
Lineage: Eukaryota; Viridiplantae; Streptophyta; Magnoliopsida; Rosales; Rosaceae
Description: sRNA RchiOBHm_Chr6g0258391
Source: RNAcentral
CUCCUCCUCAAAACCAUCGAUCGAUUUCGUUAAGAGCAUCUCUCUUCCCAGCCUCUUCCUCAAAACCAUCGAUCUCAAAACCAUCGGUUUCUAUAGAAAUCGAUCUCUCAAGAGGAUUCAAAACCCAAUUCGGUCGCUCCUCCGCCACACGCCUCAAACCCAAAGCAAACCAUCGAUCGAUCUAUCAAGAGGAUUCAAAACCCAACUCCGUCGCUCCUCCGCCACACGCCCCAAACCCAAAGCAUUCCCGGAUCGAUCUCUCUGUCUCUUCAAAACCCAACUCCUCAUGGAUGUUUUUUGGGACAUGAGUUGCUGGGCUUUGGUGUUUCUGAUUCUUGGAGCUAUUUGGCUGUUUUGACUAGUAUAUAGAACCGUUGAUUAGUAUAUAGAACCGUUGUUUAAAAAUCAUAUCUAUUGCUAACAUUGUAUUUCAAAUUUUCAAUUGGUCUUGGUUUUCGAUUAUUGUGUGGAUCAAGUUUAGUUCAAUAUGUCUUUUCUGUUUUAUGUGUAUUUUGGAAUUUUUUGCUCUUAAUUGAUUUCUCCUAUAGACAUUUUAUUGUUUUUUUGAGUUUGCUCAAUGCCUUGGUUCAUGUCCAGAUUCUAGGAAAUAAAUUGAUGGUUUGAUAUGAUUUUUGCUGUCUCAGACACAGAGAAGUUCUAUACUGAAAGAACGUGAGAGUGAGGGAGAUAGAGAGAAGGGCUGCAAUAGAAUAGAAAGAAAGAAAUAAACAGAAAGGAAACAAAAGAGAGAGAGAUGUAUAUUGAAAUGUAAUUGGAGGUGGUUGUGGUGUGUGUUUGGUGGAGGGAGAUAAUUGUGUGGUAGAUGUUGGUGUUGCAGAACCUUAUUUCAGAUUAGGUUGCUGCUCAGUUCAGCUUGUCUACUGUGAUGACCUGGUUGUUAUGGUUUUAGAAAGUGACUUGUUAAUUUGUUUGUGCUCUGUUGCCUCGUGUUUAAAUAAUCUAUUGGACUUAACCUUAACUUAAAGUUAAGUGAUGCCAUCUAUAAAGUAUACAACAAACAAAAUAGAUAUAGAUAUAUAUGUGUGAUUGUGUGUGUUCUUAUGUUUAGCUUAGUUCUUGUCAAGUUGGCUUUAGUUUCUGCAUUCUGUUGUUUUUGACCCAGUUUCAUUUUUACUAAAAACUGUACAUUUCGGCUGGGUAUUUGUAGUUGGUGUCUUCAUAAAAGUUUCAGUGGACAUCUUGAAGAUCAUUUCAGAAUUGGAAUCUCAUAAAAAGGAUUUCUCUAGAUUAAAUUAUGAAUUUUCGAAGUUGAAGGUCUGCAUCAGGAAAUUCUGUGAAUUGUUUUUGACCCAGUUUCAUUUUUACUAAAAAAUGUACAUUUCGGCUGGAUUAAAUUAUGAUUUUUCGAAGUUGAAGGUCUGCAUCAGGAAAUUCUGCGAAUUGUUUUUGACCCAGUUUCAUUUUUACUAAAAACUGUA